RNAcentral lists this ribosomal RNA (253 nucleotides) under uncultured bacterium. RNAcentral's name for it is "partial 16S ribosomal RNA". It matches the Rfam family "Bacterial small subunit ribosomal RNA", at positions 524 to 776 of the family's 1533-position model. The record is from RNAcentral.
UACAGAGGGUGCAAGCGUUGUUCGGAAUUACUGGGCGUAAAGCGCGUGUAGGCGGAUGAGCAAGUCUGCUGUGAAAGCUCCUGGCUUAACCGGGAGUGGUCGGUGGAAACUGCUCGUCUGGAGGACGGUAGAGGUAGGUAGAAUUCCCGGUGUAGUGGUGAAAUGCGUAGAGAUCGGGAGGAAUACCUGUGGCGAAGGCGGCCUACUGGGCCGGACCUGACGCUGAGACGCGAAGGCGUGGGGAGCGAACGGG